RNAcentral lists this ribosomal RNA (446 nucleotides) under uncultured bacterium. RNAcentral describes it as "partial 16S ribosomal RNA". It matches the Rfam family "Bacterial small subunit ribosomal RNA", at positions 338 to 795 of the family's 1533-position model. The record is from RNAcentral.
CCUACGGGAGGCAGCAGUAGGGAAUUUUCGGCAAUGGGGGGAACCCUGACCGAGCAACGCCGCGUGAACGAAGAAGUUAUUCGUAAUGUAAAGUUCUUUUAACAGGGAAGUAAGAGAAAUUUGACGGUACCUGAAGAAUAAGCUCCGGCUAACUACGUGCCAGCAGCCGCGGUAAUACGUAGGGAGCGAGCGUUAUCCGGAAUUAUUGGGCGUAAGGGGUGCGUAGAUGGCAUAGUAAGUCUUUUGUAAAAAUGCUAGGCUAAACCCAGUAGGGCAAAAGAUACUGCAAAGCUAGAGUAUGACAGAGGCAAGUGGAACUACAUGUGUAGCGGUAAAAUGCGUAAAUAUAUGUAAGAACACCAGUGGCGAAGGCGGCUUGCUGGGUCGAUACUGACAUUGAGGCACGAAAGCGUGGGGAGCAAACAGGAUUAGAUACCCCGGUAGUC